CAGCAGCCGCGGUAAUACGAAGGGGGCUAGCGUUGCUCGGAAUGACUGGGCGUAAAGGGCGCGUAGGCGGCGAUCAAAGUCAGGCGUGAAAUUCCUGGGCUCAACCUGGGGGCUGCGCUUGAUACUUGGUUGCUUGAGUGGGGAAGAGGGUCGUGGAAUUCCCAGUGUAGAGGUGAAAUUCGUAGAUAUUGGGAAGAACACCGGUGGCGAAGGCGGCGACCUGGUCCUUGACUGACGCUGAGGCGCGAAAGCGUGGGGAGCAAACAGGAUUAGAUACCCCGGUAGUCCCUGUCUCUUUACA
This 301-nucleotide ribosomal RNA is filed under the name uncultured bacterium. Its description in RNAcentral is "partial 16S ribosomal RNA". It matches the Rfam family "Bacterial small subunit ribosomal RNA", at positions 509 to 808 of the family's 1533-position model. The record is from RNAcentral.